This 104-nucleotide small nuclear RNA is filed under the name Carlito syrichta (Philippine tarsier). The record is from RNAcentral. Lineage: Eukaryota; Metazoa; Chordata; Mammalia; Primates; Tarsiidae.
GUGCUCACUUUGGCAGCACAUACUAAAAUUGGAACGAGACAGAGAAGAUUAGCAUGGCCCUGCGCAAGGUGGACACGCAUAUUUGUGAAGCGUUCCAUAUUUUU